AAUACACAUUUCUAGGUGUUCUAAAUGGAAGCGUGGCUUUCUUUCCGAGGCGCACCUGAAGGCAGCACAGUAGCAGGCAGGUUAUCUUAUCUACAGGGCUGGGAGGUGUGUUUACAUUUCCACUGAAUGCAACGUGUCACUAGGAUCCCAGACUUAUCCCGAACUUGCGUGGUCGGAACUCCCGAGCCUCACCUCCUCUAACGCCGACGCUGGGCUGCAGUUUGGCGGACAGGAUGACCAGCACUAUCCCGAUGAUGAACCACUCCUUCCGCAGCCUCGCCAGGAGGCCCAUGGUUCCGCUGCAGGGGCUCAGCCUCCGGCCACCCCGCCGGCCCUCCUGUCGCUGCGGCCGGCCUCGAGUUUCUGCGACCUGCCGCUUCUUUUCCCUUCGGGGAGUUCUGUCAGACAACACCAGCGGAUCAGGGGGAACUUCUUCCGGACACGUGGUCCGCGGCGCCACCGUAACGACUGGGAGAGCGGCGCAAGGUAAUAAUUUACCGUAAUAUAC
This is a long non-coding RNA of Fundulus heteroclitus (mummichog), 508 nucleotides long. RefSeq lists it as uncharacterized. The transcript has 3 exons. The record is from RefSeq and is a predicted model, not a curated record. NCBI's taxonomy places the organism in Eukaryota, Metazoa, Chordata, Actinopteri, Cyprinodontiformes, Fundulidae.